GUAGAGCUUGCUCCUUGAUUCAGCGGCGGACGGGUGAGUAAUGCCUAGGAAUCUGCCUGGUAGUGGGGGACAACGUUUCGAAAGGAACGCUAAUACCGCAUACGUCCUACGGGAGAAAGCAGGGGACCUUCGGGCCUUGCGCUAUCAGAUGAGCCUAGGUCGGAUUAGCUAGUUGGUGGGGUAAUGGCUCACCAAGGCGACGAUCCGUAACUGGUCUGAGAGGAUGAUCAGUCACACUGGAACUGAGACACGGUCCAGACUCCUACGGGAGGCAGCAGUGGGGAAUAUUGGACAAUGGGCGAAAGCCUGAUCCAGCCAUGCCGCGUGUGUGAAGAAGGUCUUCGGAUUGUAAAGCACUUUAAGUUGGGAGGAAGGGCAGUAAGUUAAUACCUUGCUGUUUUGACGUUACCGACAGAAUAAGCACCGGCUAACUCUGUGCCAGCAGCCGCGGUAAUACAGAGGGUGCAAGCGUUAAUCGGAAUUACUGGGCGUAAAGCGCGCGUAGGUGGUUUGUUAAGUUGGAUGUGAAAGCCCCGGGCUCAACCUGGGAACUGCAUCCAAAACUGGCAAGCUAGAGUACGGUAGAGGGUGGUGGAAUUUCCUGUGUAGCGGUGAAAUGCGUAGAUAUAG
This 630-nucleotide ribosomal RNA is filed under the name Pseudomonas putida. RNAcentral describes it as "bacterial SSU rRNA". It matches the Rfam family "Bacterial small subunit ribosomal RNA", at positions 73 to 699 of the family's 1533-position model. The record is from RNAcentral. Lineage: Bacteria; Pseudomonadati; Pseudomonadota; Gammaproteobacteria; Pseudomonadales; Pseudomonadaceae.